Molecule: ribosomal RNA, 253 nt
Filed under: uncultured prokaryote
Description: partial 16S ribosomal RNA
Rfam family: Bacterial small subunit ribosomal RNA
Source: RNAcentral
GACGUAGGGGGCGAGCGUUGUCCGGAAUUACUGGGCGUAAAGAGCACGUAGGCGGACUAUUAAGUCAGGUGUGAAAGACCGCAGCUCAACUGCGGGGUUGCACUUGAAACUGGCAGUCUUGAGGGCAGGAGAGGACAGUAGAAUUCCUGGUGUAGCGGUGAAAUGCGUAGAAAUCAGGGGGAAUACCAGUGGCGAAGGCGACUGUCUGGACUGACCCUGACGCUGAGGUGCGAAAGCGUGGGUAGCAAACAGG